RNAcentral lists this ribosomal RNA (253 nucleotides) under uncultured bacterium. Its description in RNAcentral is "partial 16S ribosomal RNA". It matches the Rfam family "Bacterial small subunit ribosomal RNA", at positions 524 to 776 of the family's 1533-position model. The record is from RNAcentral.
UACGAAGGGGGCUAGCGUUGCUCGGAAUCACUGGGCGUAAAGCGCACGUAGGCGGAUUGUUAAGUCAGGGGUGAAAUCCUGGAGCUCAACUCCAGAACUGCCUUUGAUACUGGCGAUCUCGAGUCCGGGAGAGGUGAGUGGAACUGCGAGUGUAGAGGUGGAAUUCGUAGAUAUUCGCAAGAACACCAGUGGCGAAGGCGGCUCACUGGCCCGGUACUGACGCUGAGGUGCGAAAGCGUGGGGAGCAAACAGG